RNAcentral lists this ribosomal RNA (452 nucleotides) under Hermaea bifida. Its description in RNAcentral is "partial 16S ribosomal RNA". It matches the Rfam family "Bacterial large subunit ribosomal RNA", at positions 1808 to 2607 of the family's 2925-position model. Lineage: Eukaryota; Metazoa; Mollusca; Gastropoda; Hermaeidae. The record is from RNAcentral.
CAAAAACAUAGCCUUAAGCUUUAUUUAAGGUGAAGCCUGCCCAGUGCUUAUUGUUAACGGCCGCAGUACCUUGACUGUGCUAAGGUAGCAUAAUCAGUUGGCUUUUAAAUGGAGUCGGGAAUGAAUGGACCAAUGGAGUAAAGCUGUCUCCCCUACACUAAAUUUAAUUUACUUAUUAAGUGAAAAUGCUUAAACAAAGAAAAAAGACGAGAAGACCCUAGGAGUUUUUAUUAAGGCCUAGUUAUCUAGGUUACAUUUUUGUUGGGGCGACAAAGGGGCAAAAAUUAAACCCCCUCUAAUAAAUCUGCCGACAGUGUAUGAAAAAUUAAACUACCCUAGGGAUAACAGCGUAAUUCUUUUUGAGCUUGCGACCUCGAUGUUGGACUAGGAAUUUGAUGGGCUAGCCGCCCAUUAUAAUUGUUCUGUUCGAACUAUUUUUCCUACGUGAUCUG